This is a long non-coding RNA of Dioscorea cayenensis subsp. rotundata (Guinea yam), 635 nucleotides long. RefSeq lists it as uncharacterized. The transcript has 2 exons. NCBI's taxonomy places the organism in Eukaryota, Viridiplantae, Streptophyta, Magnoliopsida, Dioscoreales, Dioscoreaceae. The record is from RefSeq and is a predicted model, not a curated record.
UAAUUCUAGACAAAAAAAAACCCGUAUUUUUACUGCAGGUUAAAAAAACACACAACAAUUAAGUCCGUCCAACCAAUUGAACCUACAAGUGAUGGAAGCAACAUCUUGAAUAUUUGAAAAAAAACAAGAUUAUUUUAUGUAAAGCGAAUCAUCAAAUUAUAAGACUGAGUUCUAAAUAUCAAACAGACAACAAUGCAUGACCUAAUUAUUCCAUUGAGCGUUUAGACUUAGCAACAAUACAAGUCUAAUACAAUAUCAUGGAGCAUGCUAUUCAUUGCAGGUGAGGAUCCUCAGGAAGGAAUCCUAUUGGUAUAAAGGGACUGGAACUGUGGUGACAGUGGACCAGGAUCCAGACACUCGUUACCCGGUUGUGGUUCGAUUUGACAAGGUUGAUUAUGCUAAUGUGUCCACCAACAACUUUGCACUAGAUGAGAUUCAAGAAGUGAAAUGAGAUCCUCAGAAUCAAUGGAAGGGAAUGCCAUAUAUUUUACAAUCAGUAGAAGUGUAAACUCUUGUAUAAUAUCAGUCAUUUGUCUGAGCUGUUUUAUUUACCAUCUCUUUUCAUUCAUUCAUUUAAUCUUUGUGAUGCCUGUGAACCUGAAAUUAUGAUCCUAAGAAGCUGCAAACCUAGUAAA